GGGACAUGAUGAGUGGUCAGUACUCGCAAUCUAUGUGUGAUGAGUGUACACCCAAUCGCCUGGUUACGACACUCGGGCACUCCCUUUGUUACCUCUUGAUUCC
Hibiscus syriacus is the source of this 103-nucleotide small nucleolar RNA. RefSeq annotates it as small nucleolar RNA Z279/snoR105/snoR108. NCBI's taxonomy places the organism in Eukaryota, Viridiplantae, Streptophyta, Magnoliopsida, Malvales, Malvaceae. The record is from RefSeq and is a predicted model, not a curated record. The transcript has a single exon.